RNAcentral lists this ribosomal RNA (241 nucleotides) under uncultured bacterium. RNAcentral's name for it is "partial 16S ribosomal RNA". It matches the Rfam family "Bacterial small subunit ribosomal RNA", at positions 113 to 354 of the family's 1533-position model. The record is from RNAcentral.
CGACGUGGAUAACCUGCCUUACACUGGGGGAUAACACUUAGAAAUAGGUGCUAAUACCGCAUAAGCGCACAGCUUCGCAUGAAGGAGUGUGAAAAACUAAGGUGGUAUAUGAUGGAUCCGCGUCUGAUUAGCCAGUUGGUGAGGUAACGGCUCACCAAAGCGACGAUCAGUAGCCGGCCUGAGAGGGCGGACGGCCACAUUGGGACUGAGACACGGCCCAGACUCCUACGGAAGGCAGCAG